UCCAUAAUCAGAGUAUCCCAGACUUUCAUAAAUCGUAACCGCUCUCUGCUCUUUCUUCACACACACACACUCACAGAAAUCUCCAAUCACUAUUCUCACUCACUCUGCAAGUCCUUUCUGAUUCCAAUACGCUGUCGUUUUCGUUUUCGUUUUCGCUUUUGUUUUCAAACUCUCUCUCUCUCUCUCUCUCUGUGUUUUUUUUUUUUUUUUUUUUUUUUAAAGCUCACCGAAAAAAAAAAAAAACCCGAAACAUGGUACUCCGAAACUCGGUGUCCGAAACCGAAACGCCACCGGUUCGAGCCCCUCAGAAGCCGCAGCCACAGCAGCGGCCGCCGCAUGCGGCUUUUUCGGGUUUCGGUGCUGCUCCGAAGCCUCAGCCGAGCUUGAAUUGGCUUUUGAAUCCCUCCAACACCGCCAUCAAUAGUUACCAAAACCUUCAGAGCCACUACAACAGUUUCGGCUUCAAAAUCGCCGAGCCGAGUCACGACUCGUCGUCUCGUUUCGGCGGCGCUUCUUCGUAUCUCCCGCCGAAUUACUCUCCUUUAGUCAACAACAGUCGCGAUCAACACCACCACCACCACCGCCGGGGACUCGCUACUGAGUCGACUCACGAGUCGGAGUCCGAGUCGUCCUCGCACCUUGGGGCGAAUUAUACGACUUUAGUCGAUUACAGUCGUCACCUCAAACUCGCUGAGUCGACUCAGUACCGGGUUGGUAAACUCGGCGAGUCGGUUCCGGAGGGUGUCGAAUCGGAGAAUCGGAACCGGAAUGUUGUAAUUGACAAGGCGGCGAAGAAGAAAUCGGUUCGCGCUGUCUCUGAGUCGAAGGCGGCGAUUUCUGGCCCGGUUAUCGAUCUCUCUGAGUCUCCUCCGAAGCGAAAUUCGGAGAGGAAAUCGGAAAAUCUCGGAAGCGCGAUCGAGAAAUCGGCGGAUUCCGAUACGAAAGCGAAAUCGAAGCUUCUGAUUCGUAUCAAAACCAAGAGCAAGUCCAAUGCCGAAGCUGAUACCGAAGAUCACAAUCGCCGCGACGAUCCUGAUCACGCUGCUGACACCGAAGAGCCACCGGAUCAAACCUCAGCCGCCGGAGCAGGCGCUUCCACCGGCGUCAGCGGCGUCGAAGUAGAAGUCGAAGCGCCGCCGCAAAAGACGUGGAAUCUCCGGCCGAGAAAACCGGCUACUAAGAAUCCACCUCCAGAGGCGGCGGCGACGGCGGCGCAGCAUGUGACCAGAAAAACCCAGCCUCCGACUCGCGCUGAGUCGACUCGGUCCCAAACCGCGGCGGAAAAGAAAUCUUCGGAGAAGAAGGAGAAAAAACCAAACUUUUCGAUCGCGCUUUCGAAAGAAGACAUCGAGAAAGACUUCUUGCUCUUCACUGGGUCCAAGCCAGCCCGGAGGCCCAAGAAGCGAUCUAAGAUCGUUCAGAAACAGCUCGACAAUGUUUUUCCGGGAUUGUGGUUAUCUUCGGUUACUCCAGAGUCAUACCAGGUCACUGAUUCAAAGGGUUAGAUGGGGAAUUGGUGUUUCUUUGAAUAGUUGUUGGAAUUUUGAAGGUUUUGUGAAUGCGGAUCCUUUUGGACAUUGGAAGGUAUAACAAAACAUAUACACCAACAAACCUUUGAAGAUGAAUGGAUGACUACAGUGUUUUCUUUUUUAGCUUUUUGGCGCCCUUCGGAAGAAACACAGUUUAGUAGGACACAGAUGUCUUAGCAAAAGAAAAGUAGACGCAGAUGUCUUUAGCAAAACACAGUUGUACAUAUCAAACAAGUAGAGAAGCAGUUGCCACAUAAGAGUGGAGCUCUGAAUUUGACUAUUGAUGUGCUAUACGGAGAAGUAGAGAAGCAACUGCCACAUAAGCAUGGAGCUAUUCUGAGCUCAAGGGGUGUUGCAAACCGGUGAAAGGCAGCUUUCUGGAAACCAGAAGCAUCAUGUGGAUCAGAUAACAACGACAGUGUGGCGCUUGCCGUGCACCUUGUAGAAGUGAAUGGUAAUAAUGAAUUUCUUGACAUAGUAAUUUGGCAUUUUGGGUUAAGCAGAAAUUACUUGACAUAUAGUAAUUUCUUUUUAACCCAAAAUAAGAAAUUACUUGACAUAUAAUUGGUUAAAUUUGGACUUAUCAAAUAAAGGAAAUUACUAGACAUAUUUGGUACUGUGGAACUAAUUUGUGUUGUUGGAUUAAAUGGUCCUUGGUUGCCAGUUGCAAAUUUACAGAUAUGGACCAUAUGGUCUACCUAUAACCAUGAUGAUAUUUGUAUUUAUUUUAUAGAACUGUUUAUAUCAUGAUAAAUGUUAUAGAAAUUGUCAUCUAUUUUCUCUCCCUUUGAUGGUAAUACAAAAUCUAGUAAGAAUUGAAUGAAAUAGUCUCUUGGAAAAGGAAUGCUGGUAAUUAUGGAUUGUUUGUUGGACCAACCUUUGCAGAGCGAUGCACAAGCAGAAAAGUAAGCAACAGUGCAGCGAUUUUAUUUCUUCUCCCUUAUUCUACUUUACUUGAUUCUGCCCUCAAAUUGCAUUGACAAUGAGCCUAUUUCUUUAGGAGUACAACUGCCCAAAAUAAAAUUCUUACUUUUUAAUUGUUUAUGCCCCAUUACAGUUUAAGGAAACAUACUUAUUCCGUAACUGACAGUCAAGAUACUAAAAUAGCAGAUUCUGGCAUUUGUUGCUCAAGUCUUCUGUCAAGUUUGCCCACUGCUUGGAUUAGAGGGAGAGAGCUACAGAAGUACAAUUUUUGGAGGGGCUCUGGUGUUUGAGAAACAAGAAUGGCUUAGAUUCCUAUCAAAAAAAGAAAAAAGAAAAAAGAAAAAAGAAAAAAGAAAAAAAGAAAAUGGAAUGGCUUAGACAGUUUUCUGCACUGCCUGCUGCAGGUAUUCUGCCAAAAAGAACUCUUGUGAAGGAUGUCAUGCCCUAUGUGCUCAUGUUGAGCAGAGGCUAAAUCAAUGGGGAAUAAGAGCACUCACAUUAGUGGAUGUAUAAUAGAAAAAAUGUGUAAAAUUUAUACAUUUUUGCCCAAAGAGGAUCCACAUCAGUGAGUGUAUAAUUAUGUAAAUUUAUAAGUUUGUUAUAGUGUCUAUGUAAAUUUACAUUGGCAA
RNA transcript from Quercus lobata, 3082 nucleotides. It is a transcript of the gene named rho GTPase-activating protein gacF, with no coding region annotated. The transcript is spliced from 5 exons. The record is from RefSeq and is a predicted model, not a curated record. Lineage: Eukaryota; Viridiplantae; Streptophyta; Magnoliopsida; Fagales; Fagaceae.